UGCGUAGGCGGCUAGGUAAGUCACGUGUGAAAGGCCGGGGCUCAACCCCGGAUCGGCAUGUGAGACUGGCUGGCUCGAGCACGGUAGAGGCGGGCGGAAUUCCUGGUGUAGCGGUGGAAUGCGUAGAGAUCAGGAAGAACACCGGUGGCGAAGGCGGCUCGCUGGGCCGUUGCUGACGCUGAGGCACGAAAGCGUGGGGAGCAAACAGGAUUAGAUACCCUGGUAGUCCACGCCCUAAACGAUGGACACUAGGCGUCGGGGGGAGCGGACCCUCCCGGUGCCGUCGCUAACGCAAUAAGUGUCCCGCCUGGGGAGUACGGCCGCAAGGCUGAA
RNAcentral lists this ribosomal RNA (333 nucleotides) under uncultured bacterium. Its description in RNAcentral is "bacterial SSU rRNA". It matches the Rfam family "Bacterial small subunit ribosomal RNA", at positions 568 to 898 of the family's 1533-position model. The record is from RNAcentral.